RNAcentral lists this ribosomal RNA (301 nucleotides) under uncultured bacterium. Its description in RNAcentral is "partial 16S ribosomal RNA". It matches the Rfam family "Bacterial small subunit ribosomal RNA", at positions 509 to 809 of the family's 1533-position model. The record is from RNAcentral.
CAGCAGCCGCGGUAAUACAGAGGGUGCGAGCGUCAAUCGGAUUUACUGGGCGUAAAGCGUGCGUAGGCGGCUUCUUAAGUCGGAUGUGAAAUCCCUGAGCUUAACUUAGGAAUUGCAUUCGAUACUGGGAAGCUAGAGUAUGGGAGAGGAUGGUAGAAUUCCAGGUGUAGCGGUGAAAUGCGUAGAGAUCUGGAGGAAUACCGAUGGCGAAGGCAGCCAUCUGGCCUAAUACUGACGCUGAGGUACGAAAGCAUGGGGAGCAAACAGGAUUAGAUACCCCGGUAGUCCCUGUCUCUUAUAU